UCCUAGGUCACCAGAAAGCUGAGACACAGU
This 30-nucleotide non-coding RNA is filed under the name Mus musculus (house mouse). The record is from RNAcentral. Lineage: Eukaryota; Metazoa; Chordata; Mammalia; Rodentia; Muridae.